CAAGGAAAAGGGGAGGAUAAAUAUGGAUAAGAAGCUACAAAUCAAAAGAAAUAGAGGAGCAAUGGGGAACAAGUGUAAACACAUUCAAACACACCCAAAACCUCUAAUUCAAUCCUCUUCUUGACUCCAUUAUUCACAAAUUUUUUUAUUUUUCUAAUUUUUUCCAUUUGUUUUUAUUUUUCUCAUCUUGUCUCUUUUUCUUUUUCUCUUUUCUUUUCAUAACACAACUUCAAGAGACAAG
This 241-nucleotide long non-coding RNA is filed under the name Vigna radiata. RNAcentral's name for it is "long non-coding RNA (VRAD_LNC008485)". The record is from RNAcentral. Lineage: Eukaryota; Viridiplantae; Streptophyta; Magnoliopsida; Fabales; Fabaceae.